AUUUAUUUUUCCAUGUCUAUGAUUGAUGGUGUAAACACAAUAGUAGACAUGCAUACCAACACCCAUCUCACAAUCACCCUCGACAAAAUUCUACAGCCAUGUUUUUUUUUACUAAAAAAGCAAGCAUACAAAAAAAAAUCUGUAUUUAAAACUUUGUAGAAAUCAAAAACAUUCAUACAUAUAAUCAUUUUUUCAAAUCCAAGAAAUUUAAAAUUCUAAAAUAUUUCACACAAUGAAAUUUUUCUACUAAAUCUGACAGCAGUUAUGAAGC
This 271-nucleotide long non-coding RNA is filed under the name Mytilus galloprovincialis (Mediterranean mussel). Lineage: Eukaryota; Metazoa; Mollusca; Bivalvia; Mytilida; Mytilidae. The record is from RNAcentral.